CUUUCGCGUCUGCGGUGCCCGGAGUGUGGUACUUCUCCUAGUUGCAGUCAGGCUUCAUACGCUAUUGUCCUGCCCGUUAGAGCAGCCAGCGGGUACAGAAUGGAUUUUGGAAGAGGGAGUCACCACUGGACCUCCAAGGAAGCCACGUGCAGACAUCUACAACCUUCGAUCUCCUGACGAAAACUGGCGAUGGAAUAUGAGAGGAGCCCUCUGGAAAGAAAAGGACAGACCCUGUGCUUUCAUGAAAGUGAAGAUCUGGCUGAACCAGUUCCACAAGGUUACUGUAUACAUAGCCUGAGUUUAAAAGGCUGUGCCCACUUCAAGAAUGUCAUUGUUAGACUUUGAAAUUUCUAACUGCCUACCUGCAUAAAGAAAAUAAAAUCUUUUAAAUCAAAA
Molecule: long non-coding RNA, 396 nt
Filed under: Homo sapiens (human)
Lineage: Eukaryota; Metazoa; Chordata; Mammalia; Primates; Hominidae
Description: non-protein coding ZFAS1:21
Rfam family: ZNFX1 antisense RNA 1 conserved region 2 (bases 88-180)
Source: RNAcentral